UUUUUUUUUUUUUUUUUUUUUUUUUUUUGCUUUUUAGGGCCACAGGUGUGACCUAUGAAAGUUCCCAGGCUAGGAGUUGAAUCAGAGCUACAGCUGCCAGCCUACACUAGAGCCACAGCAAUGCAAGAUCUGAGCCGCACCAUAGCUCAUGGCAAUGAUGGAUCCUUAACCCACUGAGUGAAGCCAGGGAUGGAACCCACGUCCUCAUGGAUACUAGUUGGGUUCGUUUCCACUGAGCCACGAUGAGAGCGCCGAGAUUUCUUUUUUCAAGUAACAAAGACAGUUUAUGAAGUGCACUGUUUUAAGAUGUCAGAGUCCUCUGAGUAACUUCACAUAUCCAGUCAUAUCUAAGAUGCUGCUCCCGAAUGUGAUUGGCACAGUAUAUAUUUUCUCUUUUUGACACAAACAUGCGCAAACAUCCACACGUAACACACAAAUACAUAUUCUUUCUUCUCUGUCUGUGAUUUGCAUGCAAAGUUUUCUUGGCUGUUAUUUUCUCUUUCUCCCCCAGGAGGGCUUAGCCUCUGGGAGGAGGGUGUAUCUUAAGCAGUCCUGAGAAAAGAAGCCUCUGUCCUUCCCAAUGACCUUCUCUGAGCCUUCCCAGCCUGUCUUUCCUCUGUACCCCACCUUGCCUCGCCCACUGCCCACACCAGCUUCCCCUGCCUCAGCAUCUACAAACGCCUGUGCUCCAUCUUUAUAUGGGGCAGGAGCUGAGGAAAGAGGGAAGGGCUUCUGAUUGCUCAGUAUUUUUCCAGAGAAAUAUCUCUUACGCCUUCAGAUUAAACAGUUAUGGAAUGAGACAGUUACUGGAAUGGAAGCAGGUCGAAUUCAUGUAAAGGAUUAUGUGGAAUCCUGAGAAAUGAGUAGUGUCCCUUAUAUGUACCCAUUUUCACCUUGACAUGCCUGCCCUCGCUUGGCCCAUGGCCACCUUGCCANNNNNNNNNNNNNNNNNNNNNNNNNNNNNNNNNNNNNNNNNGCAGAGGUCACAUCUCAGACGCGCUCCUGCAAAGGGGAGGGAGUCGUCUGUGGCCUUUUCCAGAGAUUUCCUUCACUCUUCUCCAGAGGCUUUUUCAUCCAGUCAAUUCCUUCCUUUAUUGCUGCUUCAACAGACACCCCGUCUCCACCCCAGAAGGAAUGAGAAGAUUAACCUUACAAAUAUGUUUGGACCAAAUAAAUGAAGAAGUUUUACUCGUCCCCAGAAUGGCUUCUGGGAUGCCUUUGGGGAAGUUAAUGGUUUCCUGGGUGGGGUCACAGCCCUGAGUUGGGCAGGUGCCGUCCCUUGACCUUCUGAGGAUAACAGCCCACACCUGCUGAGCUCUUUGCUCCCUGAGUCGCCACACACGUAAGAGGAAGGGCCUAUCUAGUCCUCAUCUUAUGAUGAAAUAACGGAGACACAGAAAGGUUAGGUAGAGCCUGACCUGUAACUGCCCGAUUGAAAAUCUCUGCCUUUUUCCCAGCCAGCCUUUUCGCUGGUACCUAGGGGUUUCUGGAAGUUUGGCCCACGCCUGGCUGCCCGUGCAACCCCGUGUGCUCUGGGAGCCUUGUUUUCAGGUGGAGAUGAUGGGAGCACGAUUCUCAUUGCUUAUAUAGAACCCGCUUUAAGUCCUCUUACGUGGAUUAGCUCGUUUCACGAGGAGGAGGCGGGGCCGCUGCCUGCGAAGGAAAGACCCUCUCCUCCAUCAAGAAAACGUCUUCCGUGCUCCAGGAUUUGAUGCGUUAAGGUUAGGAGUCCCCAAGAAGAAGAUAAAGCAUGUUCAGUGUCCUAAAUGUGUGUGGUCCUGGGCCCCUUUGUGUGGUUAGAAGCAGAGGGCUGUUGUUGGGUAAGACACCUGUGAGAUGCUGGGCUUGGUGACCUGAAGUUUACCGUUUUUCCAGGGUAUGCAAGUUAAAUUUAGCUUCUCAGACUUUUUUGUUAAUUCUAGAAAGAAGCAGUACAUCUGGGGACAUGGUGUGGCCGAGGAUACCAGAAGGGGGUUGACGGUCCGAGGGAGUCUGGAGGAGAAAGGCACGGAGCAUGCAGGUAAGUGAUUGAAACUUUCCCAGCCUCGAGUUUCACAUCUAUGAAAUGGGUCUGAUGAUACCUCCCUUCAGGUGUUGUGAGGAGGAAAAAAAACGAGGAUGGCCCUUGGUACGGGGUAGGUGUGUAGUCAACAGCAGCUGUCAUUUAUUCUCCUGUUACCUUUUACACUGAGCGGUGUUGUCUUGGGCACAUUUUAAGAAAUGUGUACCAGGGAGCUUCCGUUGUGGAGCAGUGAAAACAAAUCCAACUGGUAUCUGUGAGGAUGCGGAUUUGAUCCCUGGCCUCAAUCAGUGGAUCAGGGAUCUGGGCAUUGCCAUGAGCUGUGUUGUAGGUUGCAGACGUGGUUCAGAUCUGAUGUUGCUGUGGCUGUGGUGUAAGCCAGCAGCUGUAGCUCUGAUUCAGCCCCUGGUCUGGCAACUUCCAGAUGCCACACAUUCAGCCCUAAAAAGCAAGCAAGCAGACAAGCAAGCAAGCUAAGAAAGAAAGGAAAGAAAGAGAAAUUCGUACUCCUGUUUCUUCACCUCUAAAACAGGAAUUGGUGUUCUUAAGACUACCGAACUGAUAGAAAACCUAGCUCAGGGCUAGACACUCAGUGGCUUCUCAAUAUGCGAUACUCACUUGCCCUCUGGCUGCCCUGCCCUCACGCAGGGAUCCCCCCCCCAGCCCCUUCAGCCCCCUUGCCUCCACCCUGGAGAAGAUGCGGGUUCCAAGGACGUGAAAACCUCUCACCUCUUAAUGCUUUUUCUGCCUUCUGCUUGGGCUAAUUCCUUUAUCCUGGGUUCAUUAAGCUCGCGUCCAUCAAGCCUCACAGUCU
RNAcentral lists this long non-coding RNA (2834 nucleotides) under Sus scrofa (pig). RNAcentral's name for it is "lncRNA (ENSSSCG00005004117.1)". The record is from RNAcentral. Lineage: Eukaryota; Metazoa; Chordata; Mammalia; Artiodactyla; Suidae.